Molecule: long non-coding RNA, 386 nt
Organism: Dermochelys coriacea (leatherback sea turtle)
Lineage: Eukaryota; Metazoa; Chordata; Testudines; Dermochelyidae
Exons: 2
Source: RefSeq, a predicted model, not a curated record
UCUCCUGUCAUCCGGCUGCUGAGCGGGACGGUCUGCGGGCGUCUCUGCACAGAGCAGCAAUCGGGGUGGCGGUGCCCGGUGUCUGUGGCAGCGGCUGGGGGGGCCGGUGGCUGGGGCCAGUCUUGGCUGGGGCAGAGGUUUGACCCAUUGUUCCGAUUCCUACACCCCUGUCCGCGUCCGCGUGCAUUCGGUGCAGGGCGUGCCUGGCUCUGAGACUGUCUGCAGGCUUUGGAGGCCAGGGUGGCAGAACUGGAGGUGCUAAGGGAGGCAAAGAGGUGUCUCGGAUGAUGACCCAGCACGUUCAUUUUUAGAACACUUUCUCUACAGAUUUGACAAAACACAAAGAAGGUACCAAUGUGAGAUUUCUUAAGAUAGCUACAGCACUC